UUGGCCCUCCUCAGGCAUUUCAGAGGACAGGCAUUGUGGAAGUAGGUAGGUGCAGGAAUUUGCCUUCCUAGGCUUCAACAUGAUGGCUUUUAAUUUACUGGAUGAACAUGGGACAUCUAGGUAAACAUGAGAAAAAUGAGGUCACCUUUCACUACAUACUCUAGACUUUUGACCUUGGGUUGAAUGCACAUUUAACUGUACGGUGGGAGGCAGUUUUGGUGCAAAGGAUAAGGACAAGGAAAAGACAAAGGCUUGUUCAAGUGUCAGCAAUAGCUUCUCCUCCAGUGUCCAUGACCUCACCGGUCACAGGUAGGUGGCUAUCUUUACAAUACCAGGCAUGGAUUUUCUCCUAUUGUGUCUUUAAAGCCAUUAUAUGUCUCUUGGCUACUCUCAAGAUAAUAGUGUCGCUGCUGUACCCUUGAGAAGAUGAAAACUCCAGGCAAUUAUUGACUCUGGAGAGAGGGAAAAACAGUCUUCUCUAGCAAGGAGCUCUCUUAUGGGUUAUCUAAUCCUAAGUGAUCAUCCCUAAACACAUUUACAUACAAACAACAUUAAAUAGACCCAACGGUGUGUGUGUGUGUUAAAUCAUAUGCAUAUUUAACAAUAAUACUUAAAGGGAAAAGGUUUUAAAUAUGAAAGGAAGUAAGAGAUCAUGGGAAAAGUUGGAGAGAGGAUGGGGUGGGGUGGAAAAGAUGUAAAUACAGUACACAAUUAUGAUAUUCCCAAAAA
This 729-nucleotide long non-coding RNA is filed under the name Mus musculus (house mouse). RNAcentral's name for it is "predicted gene, 56665". The record is from RNAcentral. Lineage: Eukaryota; Metazoa; Chordata; Mammalia; Rodentia; Muridae.